Molecule: long non-coding RNA, 1226 nt
Organism: Dipodomys ordii (Ord's kangaroo rat)
Lineage: Eukaryota; Metazoa; Chordata; Mammalia; Rodentia; Heteromyidae
Exons: 3
Source: RefSeq, a predicted model, not a curated record
GGAAUGAUAUCAAUAUUAUGGUUGAAUGAGUUGAUUUUGAAUGAUGCUCCUACAAAAUUACACAGCAUGAUUUCAGGAAACUGAUUUUAUUUAAUGUUUAUGGAAUAUUAAAAAAAUACUAUUGCUUACAGGAAUGCAAUAAUUUCAGCUUCCUGAUUGUUUUACUUAAUAGUUUGUUAAGAUGAAAACAAUAACAUUAAUUACAUGAAGGCAUAAUAAAUACCCAAGAAUUGGUAGGAAUGUAGUCUAUCUAACUGAAUAUUGGAUAGACAUCUCUGGUACGCUAUAAAUAUAUUUAUUUAUUUGUGUACUACCAUCUGCGUGUCAAUCUAUUCUUAUUUUGUCAACCACUGGGGCUCGAUCUCAGGUCCUGGGAACUGCCUGUCAGCUCAAUUUUCCACAGAAUGGCAUGCUGACACUCACCCAUUCAUGAACUGGGCCUCAGGGGCUGUGAGUUCAGAUGCCAGCACUUCUAAAAAAUGAAUCAUGGAGUAAGAAGCUAAUGGUGACACGUUUUCCUUUUAUGUGAAAGUCCUGGGUGUCAGGAACUGAUUGAAUAGGUGCUGGAGUAGGUGGCUCAGUGUCCCCAUGUGGCUGGAACCAAGGUGGUCCUCUCAUUCUGGAGGUGGGCUGUUUGUCAGGAGCUGUUUCACUCAGUCUGUUGUAUGAGCUCCAUGAGCUGGGAAAUCAGCAAGACCUCAGUAAGUAUUCCUCACAUAGGACUUUUCAAAUGGGUUGGUGAAAUGUUGAGCUGAGCUCCCACCUUCUCAGGAUUUACUCUUCUGCUUAGAAAUUGAUGCUAGAUGUUGGAAAAGAGCUCAAGGAAGAAUGCCAUUUAAAGCCUUAUAUCUUUAUUCUGUAUCAGGGUAUUUUCCUACUACUUUGGUUGUUGAGAGUGUCUACAAGAACAAGCAUUCCCUGGGGAGCAGGGAGAUGCCAUAUGAGGUUUACUUAGUGAGAUUUCCUAGUGACUUGCUAUCACUUGUACUGCAUUUUGCAAAUCAAAUCUGUCAAAACCAUUUUAAGGGAUAAGAGGAGUGGUAAAAGAACUUCUAGACAUAAAUACUUCUUCAAUAUAUUUGGUUCCAAGCAUUCUGUCUAAGGCAUAUUCAACAACUAGUGAAACUUGUGUUGUCUGUAGCUAUGUGUCUUUCUCUAGGUGUGCAUGUAUACAUGGGUAUAUGUAUGUGUGUAUUUUUGUGUAUAUUAACAUGCAUGUCUACAUA